Molecule: long non-coding RNA, 329 nt
Filed under: Homo sapiens (human)
Lineage: Eukaryota; Metazoa; Chordata; Mammalia; Primates; Hominidae
Description: HSALNT0013466
Source: RNAcentral
CUGAAACAUGGUUGAAUGUUUUUCACAGGCUCUACAUGAGGUUUAUAGCACAGACCUGUCAUAGUCACUGGCUCAGGCUGGAAGGCUCACUCAAGAUGUAAGGUGGCCACGUUUUCAACCUGAGAAUAUUCUGUUGUCCAAAUGGAACCUUCUGCUGGGACAAUGAACAAAUCCCUAUGUGUGGCUUGGAGAAUUCUUUUUCAAAAGGUUAGUACCAAUUUUCUGUUAGAAGUGGAGUGGGCAGCACUGUGUGUGGUAAGAAGUUUAUGGUUUUGUCAAGGCAUUUAAUGAGAUAAGUUGAGUCAAUUUAUGGUUUAUUUGGGUACUUG